RNAcentral lists this ribosomal RNA (509 nucleotides) under uncultured bacterium. Its description in RNAcentral is "bacterial SSU rRNA". It matches the Rfam family "Bacterial small subunit ribosomal RNA", at positions 28 to 530 of the family's 1533-position model. The record is from RNAcentral.
GAUGAACGCUAGCGGGAGGCUUAACACAUGCAAGUCGAGGGGCAGCAUAGAGUAGCAAUACUUUGAUGGCGACCGGCGCACGGGUGAGUAACACGUAUGCAACCUACCCUGUACAGGGGGAUAACCCGGAGAAAUUCGGACUAAUAUCCCAUAAUGAUAUUGAAGGGCAUCCUUUAAUAUUUAAAGCUCAGGCGGUACGGGAUGGGCAUGCGGAACAUUAGCUAGUUGGGAGGGUAACGGCCUACCAAGGCAACGAUGUUUAGGGGACCUGAGAGGGUGAUCCCCCACACUGGUACUGAGACACGGACCAGACUCCUACGGGAGGCAGCAGUGAGGAAUAUUGGUCAAUGGGCGCAAGCCUGAACCAGCCAUCCCGCGUGCAGGAAGACGGCCCUAUGGGUUGUAAACUGCUUUUCCAGGGGGAGAAUUUUUCUGUCGUGACAGGAAUUGACGGUACCCUGGGAAUAAGCAUCGGCUAACUCCGUGCCAGCAGCCGCGGUAAAACGUAG